UACGGAGGAUCCAAGCGUUAUCCAGAUUUAUUGGGUUUAAAGGGUGCGUAGGCGGCCUAUUAAGUCAGAGGUGAAAGACGGUAGCUCAACUAUCGCAGUGCCUUUGAUACUGAUGGGCUUGAAUGAACUAGAGGUAGGCGGAAUGGGACAAGUAGCGGUGAAAUGCAUAGAUAUGUCUCAGAACACCGAUUGCGAAGGCAGCUUACUAUGGUUUUAUUGACGCUGAGGCACGAAAGCGUGGGGAUCAAACAGG
This 253-nucleotide ribosomal RNA is filed under the name uncultured bacterium. RNAcentral describes it as "partial 16S ribosomal RNA". It matches the Rfam family "Bacterial small subunit ribosomal RNA", at positions 524 to 776 of the family's 1533-position model. The record is from RNAcentral.